This 309-nucleotide ribosomal RNA is filed under the name Triticum aestivum (bread wheat). Its description in RNAcentral is "partial small subunit ribosomal RNA". Lineage: Eukaryota; Viridiplantae; Streptophyta; Magnoliopsida; Poales; Poaceae. The record is from RNAcentral.
AUGAACCCUACCUCGGCGCCGGGUCCAGACGGCCUCUCAGUUAAAUUCUUCCAGACCUUCUGGAAUGCGAUUAAACUGGAGGUCAUGGCCAUCUUUGACGAGUUCUACGUUGGCUCCAUCGACCUCGGACGCCUCAACUUUGGGAUCAUCUCUCUCAUUCCUAAGGUGGUUGGCGCUUCCAACAUCCGCCAGUUUCGCCCGAUCACGGUCAUUAACGUGAUUUUACGGAUUCUAGCAAAAGGGUACGCCAAUAGGGUGACCCGUCUUGCUGGCCGCAUUACCCACCCCAACCAGUCCGCCUUCAAUUAA